CGGACGGUAUAUGGGUUAAUAUUUCAUUUGUCGAAUAUAUUGCACAUUCACCGGCCUGA
This 59-nucleotide microRNA precursor is filed under the name Drosophila melanogaster (fruit fly). RNAcentral's name for it is "Dme-Mir-92-P6_pre stem-loop". It matches the Rfam family "mir-310 microRNA precursor family", at positions 9 to 67 of the family's 74-position model. Lineage: Eukaryota; Metazoa; Arthropoda; Insecta; Diptera; Drosophilidae. The record is from RNAcentral.